CCUACGGGAGGCAGCAGUGGGGAAUAUUGGACAAUGGGCGAAAGCCUGAUCCAGCAAUGCCGCGUGAGUGAUGAAGGCCUUCGGGUCGUAAAGCUCUUUUACCAGGGAUGAUAAUGACAGUACCUGGAGAAUAAGCUCCGGCUAACUCCGUGCCAGCAGCCGCGGUAAUACGGAGGGAGCUAGCGUUGUUCGGAAUUACUGGGCGUAAAGAGUACGUAGGCGGUUAUUCAAGUCAGAGGUGAAAGCCCGGGGCUCAACCCCGGAACUGCCUUUGAAACUAGAUAACUAGAGUCUUGGAGAGGUUAGUGGAAUUCCGAGUGUAGAGGUGAAAUUCGUAGAUAUUCGGAAGAACACCAGUGGCGAAGGCGACUAACUGGACAAGUACUGACGCUGAGGUACGAAAGCGUGGGGAGCAAACAGGAUUAGAUACCCUGGUAGUCCACGCCGUAAACGAUGAUAACUAGUUGUUCGGUCACUUGGUGACUGAGUGACGCAGCUAACGCAUUAAGUUAUCCGCCUGGGGAUACGGUCGCAAGNUUAAAACUUAAGGAAUUGACGGCUGNGAAGUGCGAGAGACGACGAGGAGAGG
Molecule: ribosomal RNA, 589 nt
Filed under: uncultured bacterium
Lineage: Bacteria
Description: bacterial SSU rRNA
Rfam family: Bacterial small subunit ribosomal RNA
Source: RNAcentral